Non-coding RNA from Anas platyrhynchos (mallard), 4489 nucleotides. The record is from RefSeq and is a predicted model, not a curated record. NCBI's taxonomy places the organism in Eukaryota, Metazoa, Chordata, Aves, Anseriformes, Anatidae.
GUUGCUAUAAUAACCAGUUAUUGAGCAGAGCCAAGGCAUAGAGAGGGCCACUGACUACCAGUGGUAGCAGUAUGAGUCCUUGACUUGAGGAAGUCUCAAAUCAGGCUCCCCUGUUACAUCAUGAGCCUUUAAAUCUGAAAGAGUUUGUCAGGGAGUUCAUUAGCACCAGGAUUUCCUUCUUGGUGUUGAGCACUAUUAAAUUGGUGGGAGUAUGCAGCUGACCCAAACAGGCCUUGAUGGUGUUUCUACUGCUACAGCUGUGCUGUUCCCCAGGGUCUGGGUUAAAAGUUUGCUUCCCAUCCAGCAGCUCCUGAGAUCUUCUUGCUGUGUCUUGUAUCAUGAGCUGCUGUCAACUAGCUCACCGUGUCAACAUGAUGUUGCUGGACUGCUUGCUUGCAAUAGGAGCAUGAGACCAAGCUCUCAGCAGCUAAAAGACCUCCUGAGAAUGACAAAGCAUGGGGGCUGACAGGUACGUGAGGCAAUGCACUGACUCCUGUGGAGGUCUGGUCUGCACUGUCUAGCUACUGGUGGACUGCACUCUCUGCACUAGAACUUCCAGGAAGAGAAAACAAAGGACAGAAAGGUUAUCCUGAAGCUCUCAAGUAACUCUGUAUCAUUAUUCAUUAAUUGUACUACAGCUGCACCAAAAAAAAAACAAAAAAAAAAACACUGGAAAGGUAGUAGUAUUCUAAAAAUACCUUCUUUCCCAAAUUAAUCACUUUUUUCCUGACAUCCCCAUAGACACAAAUUUGUAUACACAUACUUUUUUGGCCUAUUUACCAUCUCUAAAUUUGACUCAAUGGAAUUAGCCUAGAAGACAGAUCCUUUUUCUUACAGUAGUUUAGAUUGACAUAUUACCUAUUCCAUUCAGUGGGAUCCCUUCCUCCUACUUGACAGCAUUUUUUAUGAGCAAGAAAAUAAUCUGCACAGACAAAUUAAGUCCUAUUUAUUCAAGCUUCAUUGUGAAAAAGUUUUGGAUACAAGAUCAUGCAAUCUAUUAUGAUCUUUAUUUAAGGGCAACCAAUUAUCUUCAAAAAGUAAUACCCAAUAAGAAUCUUAGAUUUAGUUCUAGAUGAAAACUUUAAAAUUCUUCAGCAAUGAAAACAGAUAGCGCCAUUUCCCAAACAAACAUAUACCAAUCAGAUUCUUGAGAAACCUGUAUACUUUAUUCUUUAAAAGACAUUGCAUAUGUUCAAGCAAUUUCAUUAGCAAGUAAAAAAAUAUAUAUUUUUUCAACCCAAAUGUUCUUCUUUCAUCCAAAACCUUAAAAAAGUCCUCAAAAACAAGAAAAAUCAUCUUCUGAAUUUAAAUGUUUAAUGUCUGUUAUAAACCUGUAAUAUAGUUCUUAUUGGUGGAAAAAGGAUUUUAAAAGAGAAAAUGGAAACUUAAUGUUAACUGACUACAAAAACAAAAAAUCAUUUUCCACCUUGCAAAAACAUUAAACAUUCUGUCUUGUAUUCUGAAACAGCCUAGUUAGUAUAUGUUGCUAGUUCUCAGUGAGUGAUCUAUAAAUUGAUGUGCUAUAAAAGACUGAGAAAGGAUUAGAAGUAUCUGAAAAAUCCACUGCCAAAAUAAAGUUGUUAUUUAUUUAAAUAGAUGGCUUUUUUCUCCAGUUUCCUAUCAAGAUAUAUAUUUACUGUCCCUUGGCCUGGUCAGAAAGGACACUCUUACUUUCAGAUUAUGUUUGUUAUGUUGUCAACAAAGAAAGCAUAGCUGUUACAUUUUGGACACCUGUCCAAUGCAACCUCAUCUGUUAACCCACCUAGUUAAAUUUUGUAUUCUUACCUUGAACAGAAUCCAUUUUAGCUUUAAUUAACAUUCUUAAUCUUGCCACCUCUUGUCGUUUCAGUUCAUCCAGCCGUGUUCUCACAUGGUGGCUCACUAAGUCAAGUUCUCUGCUUAGUUUUCCACUCUGUCAAAAAAAAAAAAGUUAUCAGUUAUCGAUAAAACUAGAAGUAGCCUUCACAAUUCCCAUUAAUCAGCAAGACAGCAGACUACUAGUACUGGCAAAGACUGACAGUAGCCCAUGCUAUUAGAAUCUCAAAUUCUUUUCAAAGAGCAUAUUCAAUUUUUUUAAGCUUAUAGUUGUAGAAACAGAGAAUCCCAGAAGCUUUCUGAGAAGAGAAUUUCUAAACAUCUUGCUCCCCUGAAGAGCAGAAGUGUGACCUUUCAGCAACUUGAUGAGGUAUUGCUGCUGCAGUGACAAAUUGCUUGAUCAAAUGUUCUCAAAUUGGUUCAAAAGGGCUGUGAGAUAAACACACAAUGCUGUAUUCUCCAUACAUUUGAUAACAGCUGAAGGACUUGGGAGAAGAUACAAGCGCAAUGACAGCUGCCAGCAUGUACUGCAAGAAUAUUUAUCAGUCUCUGGAAAUGGUUAGUAACCUUCAAGAGCUGCACUAGAUGUAACACAGAAGAAAGAAGAGUCAAGAACUGCCAACGGCACCAUGAGAAAUUAAAAGAAAUGCAGAAAGCAGUCCUCUCUGUCUGUCACUUCAGACUAUGUCCCACCUGUCCCUUGCAGAAUUUCUAGCUCAGAAAUGGGAAAGUAGAACAACCACCACCUAGAGCUAGAAAUUGAAACCCGUAAGACAAAAAUGAACUGGAGUUUUGGAGAUAGUGCUAUUUGAAUUGGCACAGAAGAAAGGACAGCAGUGGAGAAUGCCAGAAGUCUGUUAUUCUGGAAUUUACACACAAUGACUUUACCUCUAGUACAACUCUUCAACUUCCCCAGACUUCAAAAUCAGACUUUCUUUUAAUUCUCUUCCACAGUGUAUCACUAAUCAAUAUGACAAUAUCUUAAUCUCAGAAGGCAUAUAAAUCCCUGUCUGAAUUAGUGUUCCAAAUUGCUCAGCAGGAAAAAGCAAGUGAUAGUUAGGCUUGCAGAGGUAAAUGAACAUACAUCCUGGAUGGAGUCUGAAACUGGAUUUUUAGUGGAUAGGCAGAAGGCAGAAACCAUGCAUUCAAGUCUAGAUUUCAUUUUAUACUACGGAAUAUUCUUGAAGGAAUAGAACACCUGCUGUCUCUUUACUAAAGGAAAAGCUCUAGCAAGAGCUGAAUAUCUCGGUAAAUGAAAAAUGAGAGGAAAUUUAAGCUCACAAAAACUAAGAGGAGUAUGAAGGAAAAAGCAAAGAAAGAUUACAUCUGUCUUGCACAGUUCAUGAUUACGGAUUUAAUUAGACUCACUUAACAUUAUGUACCUACCUUUAUUUCUUCUAUGUCAGCAGUCUGGAGUUUUUCCCUGAAAUGCUUAUCUGUUUCCAAGACAUCUAUUACUUGCCUGAGAUAUUCAUCAUAAUAAAGCCCUGUAUCCUUCAAAAAAGAAGGUUACAGUUAGAAAAGAAAGAAUACGCUACCAAGUAUCUUACUUCAUUCAAAUACAAUUAUUAAACUAAACUCCAAUUCUCAGCUACACAGGGAUUAAGCUGUCCUAAAUAUCUUUCACUUUUCUGAUCUGCAUCGUUGCCCUAUAGCAACUUACUCUUAUGAUUCAUUUGUCAGUAACUGAUGACAGAGGAGGAAGAUAUUUAACAAUCCAUGUCAUAUGCAAGCAUCUGUCAUGUUAAUAUAGCAUUGUUUUCUUUUUUUUAAACAGUGCAAUUAAUUCAUUACAUGAUUUCAAGAGCAGUUCAGAAUAGUGCCUAUUCUUUUCCCUCAGAUGCAAAAGAAAAUAGAGACUAUUUGCUGCAUUUCCUAGAAAUCUUUUUAGAAAGACAGCCACCCCCAGUCUGCCAGAAUCAACGACGAGAAGUUAUACUUGGCUUUAAUCAGCGUAUCUGUCAAAAAGUAAGCAGAUAUUAUGUCUGGGAAACAUUUAACGUUAGUAUGAGAUUACUGAACCUGCACAGCUGAGGGCAGAUGAACCAGAACUACAACCAGGACUUAACCUAUUAGGUAAACUUUACACUAGGUCAGUUUAUCUUCCUGUGGCAUGCGCUCUCUUUAUGCAUUUUCCUGUGAUGCUGUGGUACAAAAAAAAAAAAACCACUCUCAGUAAGGGUAAUCCAGUGGAAAUAGAACUGCUAGACUCAAUAAUUUCAUUUUGGAAAAAAAAUCUGCUUCAACAAGAGUUUAUUUGGCUUUCAGGGAACAACGGUAUUGUUCAGUUAUUAAAAGCUGAAACCGGAGAUUUGUUUCUUGGAAAAAAAAAAAAAAAAAACUGCAAGUACAUUACUGUAGUACAUUGCGAAGUACUUUAGCAAGUACAAGAUCUCCAAUGUGUUUUCAUUGAAGACGCUUGUAGCACUUACAAACACAGUAUGUCUGUUGUUGAAAAAACUUCAUACUUGCAAAAGCUAACUGUGUUCCCCUGAUCAAACAUUUUCCUGUUCUAUUUGAAGCACUGAACUGGAAACAUUGAAUGGAAUUUCCUAAGCCACCACUUUGAAAGAAGUCUCUGUGGAAAAAUAAGCAGCGCUUCCUGUUGUAAACUGGGGAAUUCAUUCACUUUGCUACCUCACCUUUAGCAGCUCACAGAAAAUAACUAAGAAAA